This 438-nucleotide ribosomal RNA is filed under the name uncultured bacterium. RNAcentral's name for it is "partial 16S ribosomal RNA". It matches the Rfam family "Bacterial small subunit ribosomal RNA", at positions 339 to 795 of the family's 1533-position model. The record is from RNAcentral.
CUACGGGCGGCAGCAGUGGGGAAUCUUAGACAAUGGGGAAACCCUGAUCUAGCCAUGCCGCGUGAGUGAUGAAGGCCUUAGGGUCGUAAAGCUCUUUCGCCAGGGAUGAUAAUGACAGUACCUGGUAAAGAAACCCCGGCUAACUCCGUGCCAGCAGCCGCGGUAAUACGGAGGGGGUUAGCGUUGUUCGGAAUUACUGGGCGUAAAGCGCGCGUAGGCGGGCUGUUAAGUUAGAGGUGAAAUCCCGGGGCUCAACCCCGGAACUGCCUUUAAUACUGGCAGCCUAGAGUUCGAGAGAGGUGAGUGGAAUUCCGAGUGUAGAGGUGAAAUUCGUAGAUAUUCGGAGGAACACCAGUGGCGAAGGCGGCUCACUGGCUCGAUACUGACGCUGAGGUGCGAAAGCGUGGGGAGCAAACAGGAUUAGAUACCCUCGUAGUC